UACGGUGAAUACGUUCCCGGACCUUGUACACACCCGCCCCGUCAAGCCAUGGAAGCUGGGUGUACCUAAAGUCGGUAACCGCAAGGAGCCCGCCUAGGGUAAAACUAGUAACUGGGGCU
This 119-nucleotide ribosomal RNA is filed under the name uncultured bacterium. Its description in RNAcentral is "partial 16S ribosomal RNA". It matches the Rfam family "Bacterial small subunit ribosomal RNA", at positions 1358 to 1482 of the family's 1533-position model. The record is from RNAcentral.